GGGGAUGUGGCUCAGUGGUAGAGCACUUGCUUAUUAUGCAUGAGAGAGUAUCAUCUUUCCCCA
RNAcentral lists this transfer RNA (63 nucleotides) under Heterocephalus glaber (naked mole-rat). It matches the Rfam family "tRNA". From Rfam's summary of the family: Transfer RNA (tRNA) molecules are approximately 80 nucleotides in length. Lineage: Eukaryota; Metazoa; Chordata; Mammalia; Rodentia; Bathyergidae. The record is from Rfam by way of RNAcentral.